Molecule: unclassified non-coding RNA, 636 nt
Filed under: Hevea brasiliensis (rubber tree)
Lineage: Eukaryota; Viridiplantae; Streptophyta; Magnoliopsida; Malpighiales; Euphorbiaceae
Source: RNAcentral
AAAAAAGAACAGCACCUUCACUAGAUUGUUACGACGAACCUGUCGUUGUUUGACUGCACAUCUUCGUAACGAGCAUUGCUCGUUUACGAGAUUUCCUCAGUACAGUUGCAGUUUAGUGUAGCAAGUUUUUCAACUAGGAGCAACAGUUUCCGUUACGUUGAGACUUGUGCACUUCUUUCUGUUUCGAGAUUUGUUUUUUCACCACGGCGGAACCUUUCUCCACUAGACUUGGUACAUCCAGUAUCUUCAGCGUGAGAUCUUUGAAACAUAGUUGCACGUUUUCUCUUGUCCUUGCACUACAUUCGAGAAAUAAACAAUUGUGCUCCUUCGCAAAUGCCAGGCCUUCUUCUCUAGUAACAGCUCUUUCACUAUCCCUAUCGACUUUGUUCCCAACUAGCAUCUUGAUACACUCGGGAUUCGUGGAGUAAGACUUUAUAUCCUUCGCCCAAGUUUCUGAUAAGUUUGUAAAGGUCUCUCGUCUUGUUACAUCAUACACUAGAAUUAUUCCGUGAGCCCCUCGAUAAUAUGAACUUGUUAAUGCUCCAAACCUCUCUUGUCCAGCUGUAUCCCAAAUUGUUAAUUUCAACCUCUUGCUACCAACCGUUAGCAUCCUGAUUUUGAAGUCCACACCAACAG